Molecule: long non-coding RNA, 1493 nt
Filed under: Prunus persica (peach)
Lineage: Eukaryota; Viridiplantae; Streptophyta; Magnoliopsida; Rosales; Rosaceae
Description: long non-coding RNA (PPER_LNC004975)
Source: RNAcentral
AAACAUGCAUUCUGUCAGUUUCUUAACAACUCUAUUUCUCGUGACAUGGGAGAAAGCCCAAAACCAAUCAAGCACGUGUUUACAGGAAGAAUGAGCCUAGGCCAAACACCAAUCUAUACUUAUUCCUACAAAGUCAAAAGAAGGACUCACAAUUCCAGCAAAUGAGCAUAACUACUUACCAAAAGACCAAGAUAAAAGUCUAAAUGCCCAAGAUACGAAGCCGGUGCACUCAAAGCUUCCAGCAGUAAGGAAUGUGACACAAGCUUUCUGCACCUCCCCUUUCCUGUGUCAGAGACGUAUAAACCUACAAUCAUAAGAGUAUUGCAUCACGCAAAGUUUAGCCUUUUUGCUAGCACAAAGAGGCCCAGCACGCCAUAAAGAAAAAUGAAAAAAAAAAAAUGGAGCAAUCCGUACCAGCGACUUCUCCUCACAUUUUCGGCACCCUUCCAGCAACUUGCAAAAAGAAAGAAAUAAAAAAGGAGAGAACCCCAAAAACUAACGCAAACAUUUCCUUGCUAACCAUUACGCCAACAAAAGUUGGAUGGGUCAAAAGAAGUGGGUGCUUGGCUGCCAAAACAAAGAGCAAAACGCAUGGGCAUGAAGAACCCAAUGAACCCCUCAAUAGAUUCAAGAAAUUGCAACAGAAAAGGGCAUACCUUGUUAAUCCCCUCAAAGGAUAGCCUCAGAUGUACCAAGAAAGAAGGAACUGAGAAUUUUGGAAGAAAAGUCUACACAGAGACAAUCUCUUCCAGGAACGGCAAGUGGGUUUCUUCGCGAGGGGAAUGAUGGAGUCGAGUUUGGCUUGAGCUCCCUUCCAGCGGCUGUAGACGGGCGGUUCUUCUCUCUCUCUCUCUCUCUCUCUCUCUCUCUCUCUCUUUCUCUAAGUUCGUUGGAGGAAGAAAAGGAAAAAGAAGAUGAAGGUGAUGGGGAGAGGGUUACUCUAGUGCGCAUAAAGAGGAAGGAGAAGAAGGAAGAAAUAAUAAAUGAAAAAGAAGGAGGAAGUUGGUAUCUGGGAAACCAUAAAAUAACUGCUGAAGCUUAUGAAUUUGAUUUUUGGGUCGGGUUUAAUUAUUUGGCCCAUUCCAGCACUUAUCCAUGGCCCUAAUAAUUAAGGGGGCUAAUGUUGAGGCCCAAAAAAUCCAAGGUUGAGCCCAAAUAAAUUUCUAGCCUAGUGCUACACCUCAUUAAGAAAAGACCCAGUUUGGAGCACUCAAAAUUCUUCAUGCACGCUUUCACGGGCCACGACCACGUGCCAUGCCAAAUAAAUAUGCAAUCCAUCACGCUAUGAAUUGAAAUGAGCCUAUAAAAGGCACUGGCUCUACAAGCCCAUGUUAAUUACCCUAUCAAGCAUCAUGUCAAAGACGAUAAAAUUCAAGCACAACAUGCCAUGCCAAGUAGGAAACCAUUAUUUCACACCUAGCCACGCUACAACCUUAAUCCCAAGCCACACAAAUACCCGGGGCUUGCUGAGUAGGUUGUGGCAUGGAUGGUUA